Molecule: long non-coding RNA, 1151 nt
Filed under: Daucus carota (carrot)
Lineage: Eukaryota; Viridiplantae; Streptophyta; Magnoliopsida; Apiales; Apiaceae
Description: long non-coding RNA (DCAR_LNC006476)
Source: RNAcentral
CAGUUUUUGGGAAGAAUCUCUCUUCCUAUAAAAGUGUAAUACAAAUUCACUGAUAUACACGACUCAAAUGUUAUAAACUAUUAACAUUACUAACAAAACGGUGAUUCUUUGGUGUUGGUGGUGUGAAUCCGAGGAAUAAAUGCGUGUGACUAUCAGACUAUGUAUAGUGUAGUUUUGUGGUUUGAGACUUUCAACUAGUCUUAUGUUGUGUGAUAAAAAGCAAGGUAACGUGGGAGCUGCAGCUGCUAACGUCUCGAGUAGAUUUUUCUUUUCCUAUAAAUUUCCUUCAGCAAAAAUAACAUCUAGGGGUGCAAUCAUAUAAUUAUCAUCACAGACAAUGUGAUAGGAUGCAGAUUGUUGUCGGAGGAUAACUAGCCGGUGAAUCAGAUUAUUUAACUCCUCUUGAUUUUGGAUUUGUGCCAUGAUGACAUCCAAAUUCCCCCUACGGACUUGCGGUUCACAAACUCAAUCUCUACAUAAUGAUAGUUCCAUGUUCCACAAUUACUUCUUGGGCACUAUGACUCUAAUUUUCUAGAACCGCAAAGAAAGAAAUCUUGAGAAAGAUUAUAGUGAUUGUAAGAAGUUGUACCCCCUCUGAUGUUCACUCAGAAAGAAUCACCAUUCUUUACACCAACAAGAAUGUUCACCAUCAACCGUUAUGGAUAAUGGAGUUUAAGAGGAUGAGGAUGUGUAGAAUAUUUUGUAAUGAAAGAUCAAUUCAAAAAAGUUGAUAAUACUACUUCACAAACCAAGCUUAAUACAAAUGUAAAAUAAGAGAAUUUCUUCAUUGUAGCUUUGGAAAGGCAAGUGAAUGUGAAUUUUCAAAAUUUAGUAUAACUUAUAAUAUUGUUUCAUUAAUAUAAUAUGUAAGAAGUCUUUUGUUAUCAUCAAAUCUCAAAUUUAUCUUUAUAAUUUUACUAGAUAUAAAUAAAGAAAAAUUAUUGAAGAUUGUGUUAUUGUUGAUGAUAAUUUGAACACUUAUCAUGUUUUUUGUAUAAUUUAAUUAUGUAGUCGACCAACGGAUAACUGUAAGUCUAAAUGUAAAGACAACCCUAUCUGUUACAUAGGGAUGAUAACUCAACAAUAGAACAGGACAAGUAAAUAACACUACGCCUGCACCGGAAUCGGAAGAUACGAAGACAAAGGUUGAA